GGGACCGACCUGGCUUCGACGUGGGUGCGGAGUCGGCGCAGGGCAUGCCGAGCACCAGUACGCUCGUAAAUCCACUGGAACAAAGUAACUGCGAACGACGAACGUUUCGCCCUCGCCGCUUAACACCGGUGAGCCUCUCAACGGCAGGCCGAUGGGCCGGGCGCGCAAGCGCUGAGAGGUCAUUCACAUCGGCUGGUCGACGCCCGUGCACCUUGGGCACCGACGAGAUCCAAGGGUGCUGGCUUGUUCGGUAGCGUGCCACUGCGCGACCGGACAGGCGAGACUCAAAUCAGACGGCUAAGCAUGUAGAACUGUCCGGUGAUGGCUUGCGGACGGGGGUUCGAUUCCCCCCGGUUCCACCA
Molecule: transfer-messenger RNA, 362 nt
Filed under: Rhodoferax sp.
Lineage: Bacteria; Pseudomonadati; Pseudomonadota; Betaproteobacteria; Burkholderiales; Comamonadaceae
Also listed under: 2 other names
Rfam family: transfer-messenger RNA
About the family: Bacterial tmRNA, also known as 10Sa RNA or SsrA, is named for its dual tRNA and mRNA-like properties. Its role is to liberate the mRNA from a stalled ribosome. To accomplish this part of the tmRNA is used as a reading frame that ends in a translation stop signal.
Source: RNAcentral